GUUUCCGUGGUGUAGCGGUUAUCACAUCUGCCUGACACGCAGAAGGCCCCCGGUUCGAUCCCGGGCGGAAACACCA
This 76-nucleotide transfer RNA is filed under the name Drosophila melanogaster (fruit fly). Its description in RNAcentral is "tRNA-Val". It matches the Rfam family "tRNA". Rfam says of the family: Transfer RNA (tRNA) molecules are approximately 80 nucleotides in length. Their secondary structure includes four short double-helical elements and three loops (D, anti-codon, and T loops). Lineage: Eukaryota; Metazoa; Arthropoda; Insecta; Diptera; Drosophilidae. The record is from RNAcentral.